CUUGGGAAAUGAUGCUAACGAAAAAACUUGUUGUCAUAGGCCCAGCAAUAUGCCUGUGCUGAGUACUUUUGCACGUCAGUCUGAUUCCAAG
Small nucleolar RNA from Malania oleifera, 91 nucleotides. RefSeq annotates it as small nucleolar RNA Z122. The transcript has a single exon. NCBI's taxonomy places the organism in Eukaryota, Viridiplantae, Streptophyta, Magnoliopsida, Santalales, Ximeniaceae. The record is from RefSeq and is a predicted model, not a curated record.